GAUUCUGGCUCAGGACGAACGCUGGCGGCGUGCUUAACACAUGCAAGUCGAGCGGAGAAUAUAGCAAUAUAUUCUUAGCGGCGGACGGGUGAGUAACGCGUGGGUAACCUGCCUUUUACUGGGGGAUAACACUGGGAAACUAGUGCUAAUACCGCAUAAAAUAGUGAAGUGGCAUCACUUUACUAUCAAAGGAGCAAUCCGGUAAAAGAUGGACCCGCGUCCGAUUAGCUAGUUGGAGGGUAACGGCCCACCAAGGCGACGAUCGGUAGCCGAACUGAGAGGUUGAUCGGCCACAUUGGGACUGAGACACGGCCCAGACUCCUACGGGAGGCAGCAGUGGGGAAUAUUGCGCAAAUGGGGGAAACCCUGACGCAGCAACGCCGCGUGAAGGAUGAAGGUUUUCGGAUUGUAAACUUCUUUGAUUGGGGACGAUAAUGACGGUACCCAAAAACAAGCCACGGCUAACUACGUGCCAGCAGCCGC
This 483-nucleotide ribosomal RNA is filed under the name uncultured bacterium. Its description in RNAcentral is "bacterial SSU rRNA". It matches the Rfam family "Bacterial small subunit ribosomal RNA", at positions 15 to 518 of the family's 1533-position model. The record is from RNAcentral.